UGGCCUAAUGGAUAAAGCGUCUGACUUCUAAUCAGAAGAUUGCAGGUUCAAGCCUUGC
This 58-nucleotide transfer RNA is filed under the name Caenorhabditis briggsae. It matches the Rfam family "tRNA", at positions 8 to 63 of the family's 71-position model. Rfam says of the family: Transfer RNA (tRNA) molecules are approximately 80 nucleotides in length. The record is from Rfam by way of RNAcentral. Lineage: Eukaryota; Metazoa; Nematoda; Chromadorea; Rhabditida; Rhabditidae.